Molecule: ribosomal RNA, 506 nt
Filed under: uncultured bacterium
Lineage: Bacteria
Description: partial 16S ribosomal RNA
Rfam family: Bacterial small subunit ribosomal RNA
Source: RNAcentral
AGUGAACGCUGGCGGUAGGCCUAACACAUGCAAGUCGAACGGCAGCACAGAGGAGCUUGCUCCUUGGGUGGCGAGUGGCGGACGGGUGAGGAAUACAUCGGAAUCUACUCUGUCGUGGGGGAUAACGUAGGGAAACUUACGCUAAUACCGCAUACGAACUACGGGUGAAAGCAGGGGAUCGUCGGACCUUGCGCGAUUGAAUGGGCCGAUGUCGGAUGAGCUAGUUGGCGGGGUAAAGGCCCACCAAGGCGCCGAUCCGUAGCUGGUCUGAGAGGAUGAUCAGCCACACUGGAACUGAGAGACGGUCCAGACUCCUACGGGAGGCAGCAGUGGGGAAUAUUGGACAAUGGGCGCAAGCCUGAUCCAGCCAUACCGCGUGGGUGAAGAAGGCCUUCAGGUUGUAAAGCCCUUUUGUUGGGAAAGAAAUCCAUCUGGUUAAUACCCGGGUGGGAUGACGGUACCCAAAGAAUAAGCACCGGCUAACUUCGUGCCAGCCGCCGCAGUAA